RNAcentral lists this non-coding RNA (147 nucleotides) under Thalassospira povalilytica. Its description in RNAcentral is "FMN riboswitch (RFN element)". It matches the Rfam family "FMN riboswitch aptamer (RFN element)". Rfam says of the family: The RFN element is a highly conserved domain that is found frequently in the 5'-untranslated regions of prokaryotic mRNAs that encode for flavin mononucleotide (FMN) biosynthesis and transport proteins. This element is a metabolite-dependent riboswitch that directly binds FMN in the absence of proteins. The record is from RNAcentral. Lineage: Bacteria; Pseudomonadati; Pseudomonadota; Alphaproteobacteria; Rhodospirillales; Thalassospiraceae.
UAUUCUCAGGGCAGGGUGUAAAUCCCGACCGGCGGUAAUCCAGAUUUCUGGGAAGCCCGCGAGCGCCCGACGAUCACACGAUCUUCGGGGUCAGCAGAUCCGGUGAAAUUCCGGGGCCGACGGUAAUAGUCCGGAUGGGAGAGGAUA